RNAcentral lists this ribosomal RNA (490 nucleotides) under uncultured bacterium. RNAcentral's name for it is "partial 16S ribosomal RNA". It matches the Rfam family "Bacterial small subunit ribosomal RNA", at positions 29 to 507 of the family's 1533-position model. The record is from RNAcentral.
AAUGAACGCUGGCGGCAUGCCUUACACAUGCAAGUCGAACGGCAGCAUGACCUAGCUUGCUAGGUUGAUGGCGAGUGGCGAACGGGUGAGUAAUGCAUCGGAACGUGCCUUUUAGUGGGGGAUAACGUAGCGAAAGUUACGCUAAUACCGCAUAUUCUCUGAGGAGGAAAGCAGGGGACCUUCGGGCCUUGCGCUAGAAGAGCGGCCGAUGUCGGAUUAGCUAGUUGGUGAGGUAAAGGCUCACAAAGGCAACGAUCCGUAGCGGGUCUGAGAGGAUGAUCCGCCACACUGGGACUGAGACACGGCCCAGACUCCUACGGGAGGCAGCAGUGGGGAAUUUUGGACAAUGGGCGCAAGCCUGAUCCAGCCAUGCCGCGUGAGUGAAGAAGGCCUUCGGGUUGUAAAGCUCUUUCGGCUGGGAAGAAAUCGCACCCUCUAAUACAGGGUGUGGAUGACGGUACCAGCAUAAGAAGCACCGGCUAACUACGUG